GGAUAAGUGGCGAAAUCGGAAGACGCUUAGUUUCUGUGGUACAUAAAUCAAUCAUUAUGAAAGUUGAAAUCCCCGACUAUU
This 81-nucleotide transfer RNA is filed under the name Bacteroides phage LoVEphage. RNAcentral describes it as "tRNA-His". Lineage: Duplodnaviria; Heunggongvirae; Uroviricota; Caudoviricetes. The record is from RNAcentral.